This 429-nucleotide ribosomal RNA is filed under the name uncultured bacterium. RNAcentral's name for it is "bacterial SSU rRNA". It matches the Rfam family "Bacterial small subunit ribosomal RNA", at positions 355 to 775 of the family's 1533-position model. The record is from RNAcentral.
UAGGGAAUUGUUCGCAAUGGGCGCAAGCCUGACGACGCAACGCCGCGUGGAGGAUGAAGGACUUCGGUUCGUAAACUCCUUUCGACCGAGAUGAACAGCUUUCGACCUAACACGUUGAGAGCCUGACAGUAUCGAGGGAAGCAGCCCCGGCUAACUCCGUGCCAGCAGCCGCGGUAAUACGGGGGGGGCAAGCGUUGUUCGGAAUUACUGGGCGUAAAGGGUUCGUAGGUGGCCAACUAAGUCAUACGUGAAAUCCCUCAGCUUAACUGGGGAACUGCGUCUGAUACUGGUUGGCUUGAGUGCAGGAGAGGAACGCGGAAUUCCAGGUGUAGCGGUGAAAUGCGUAGAUAUCUGGAGGAACACCGGUGGCGAAGGCGGCGUUCUGGACUGCAACUGACACUGAGGAACGAAAGCCAGGGGAGCAAACGG